AAAAAAAAAAAAAACCCCCGACAUUCAUUGCUCUGGUCAUUCUGCAUGUGGAAACUGGAUUAAUUUCAUUAAUAGUUACAAAAGUUAUCACCAAAUUACUUAGUGGUUAGCAAAUUUGACCGAUCACAAGUAAAACAACGAAAGUUCUAAUUGGGUGUCAAUCGGGUUACUUGGACACAAAAUCUGGCAGGUGCCAAGUUCCAGCCUUGAAGUCUGAAGCAUCACUGAUUGAACAUUUUAUCACAAGUAAGACGUGUUAAGUGGGGCCCUCACCCUAGCACUUGGUCCUCCUCAAACAGAGCACCAAUGAAAUAUCCAAAGUUAAAUAACUCCCAACAUAAAACAACCUAAUCCAAUGAGAGAAAGUUAAAAAAAACUUUCUAAUAUCAACAAAACCCAACAACCCAGACAAUUCACCCUUAAUUCCAGCAAGCUCUAUGCAACUUUAUCCAGACAUUGAAAGCAAUAUGGGGGGAAAAAAAGACUCACUUUCACCCAUAAUUAUUGGAAGAUGAUAGACAAGCAGCAUCUAAAUAAGGGUCGCGUUUUUGGAGUAGAAAUUAUUCUCCUCAAUCGAAGUCCUCAACAUCUCAAAGUUUAAUUUAGGAUACUAGGGUCACUUUUGUGAUAAUCAGCAAGAGCUUUCAAAGUAGAAGGCUUCUUCAAACAAAAGCAAGUAACUACUAAUAACCCUCAUACCUGUGAUAGUAACCUUCAAAGAAGAAUAUUACUUACUGGAAUUGUUGCUUAAAUAUUUCUUGACCAUUGUAAACAUAUGGAGGACCACCUCCUUGCUUUAGCGAAAAUCCCCUCCAGAACCAUAUCACCUUCCAUGUUUCUACUUCCUUCUUCUUCCAAUUAUUAUUCUUCUACUUCUUCAGGGAAUUGGAAAUAAAAUUGAAGUUUCCGCAUGUGAGAAAAAGAAAGAAUCCAGUAGAGAUGAGAUACUCAUCAAUUGGAAUAAUCUUGCGAUGGAAUAUAAUCAAAAUAAUCCUAAUCUUCCUCCUGGAUAGGUAUUUUUCCAAAUUGUCUUCAACAAAGCAUUUUCUCCUAAGUGGUAUAAUGGCAUUCCAAGCUCUAAGUUAAGCAAUCACUUAUUUUGAAAUUUUUAUUUUGAUUUCCAAUGAAAUAAUUGAGCGUUUUCUUUUUAGAUUUGUACAUAAGAGUAACUAGAGAGAGUGGGUGGCAAUGGGGGUGUGAGGCACGGGAGGGAAGGGGAGGGGAGGCGGUUUGGCAGGUGGUUUUGAG
This 1248-nucleotide unclassified non-coding RNA is filed under the name Hevea brasiliensis (rubber tree). Lineage: Eukaryota; Viridiplantae; Streptophyta; Magnoliopsida; Malpighiales; Euphorbiaceae. The record is from RNAcentral.